This 1311-nucleotide long non-coding RNA is filed under the name Felis catus (domestic cat). RNAcentral's name for it is "lncRNA (ENSFCAG00000051779.1)". Lineage: Eukaryota; Metazoa; Chordata; Mammalia; Carnivora; Felidae. The record is from RNAcentral.
AAUCUAUGAGAGAUGAACUUCACCUCCACCAGGAGUGACUGGGGAGCUUUGGCAAAAGGCUAGUUCCUGCUAGCCUUUGCCUGCACUCUGACCCUAGGGAAGGUCUGAGUUCCUCUCUGUCUGCCUUCCAUACUGAGAUCAACCAGGCAGAGCUGUUUUCUAGUGAGGGCUGCCUAUGUGUAUGUUGCUAAAUCCUAAAAAAUACAAACUGAAAAUAUGUUGCUCAUUUAAAUAGGACAAUACGGUCUCCAUGGAUUCCUUCCCCAGUUGUGGUUGUUUAAGAUAAUAGACAAUGGAAUGACAAAUGGAAGGUAGGAAAGGGCAGGAGGCUGUGGUCUGUCCAUGAAAAUUUGUGGAGGAGAAUUAAUGAAUUUGAGUCCUACAGAUAUGAGCAGACUGUUGUGCAUGGAGAAAACAACAAAGAAGGAAGUUGCACGGUCAUGAGUCACAGUUAUUUAUACCUGUCUUAAAGAUGUUAGUGAUCUCUUGCCCACUGCAUAGAUUCAUGAAAGGACUGGCUCUUAAUAGAGGCCUGCCCUGCAAGCCCAAGAUUUGGAGGUUGGAGGCUGUCCUCUGAGGAACUUCUGAGGCCAAGAGGGCCCAGCAGAGUGGUUCCCACAAAGAAGUGUGGUAAGAAGAAGGGCCCUUCUUCAAUCAAUGAAGUAGUGACCAGAGAAUCCACCAUCAAUAUUCCCAAGCACAUCCAUGAAAAAUUUCUGAUGAGGAAGAUAACAGAAAAAGGAAUUCUUGGGAACCAGUCAACUCAAAUUCUGAAACACAGCCCUGCUGUAACCGAGGCUAGCCCAACCAGUUGACAUGAUGGAGUAUCCUCAAGACAGAAGAUCAUUCCUUUGAUGCUGCCUUUCACUGGCCCUGGUGAGCAACCUUCAGCCGCAUUCACGGCUCUUUGACACAGCAGUUCACCCAGAAAGAAUGCAGUGUUCUUCCAAGUGGCAUUCACCCUGAGCCUGACCACCAGAAAAGUCACUGUUGCUCUGAAUAUUUCAUCACCUAACAGAGCUUUUCCAAGUCUUGGCAAGGUUGCUUAUGCUUAUAAACAAGCUCAGGUAAUAAUGGGGUGUGCAUGCAGGAAGGGGCUAGAGGUAUCAGGGUAUUCAGUGGAAUGAGUGAUGGCAACUUGGGGACGAUGUUAUUGCUGUGGGUCUGCAAUUUCCAGAGAGAAGUUGAGUUGGAAAGAGAGGGUAGAAAAAGGGAGUAGUAGACCGGGAGAAAAUGAUAAAUAAUCUGCUGAAACUAUCCACAAAAUAUUGACUCCUAAGGAAUAAAUAUUUACCAUUGGGUGUCCCUGCA